CAAAAUAUCGAGAAGGCUAGUGUCUACUUAAAAAAAAAGCUCGAAGACUUGUGCUUCGCAUUCUCUAAACCUGACUCUGAAGGCUUAGCGAGAUGCGCUAGCAAUCCGAGCAGCCAUCUUUUUUUGGACGGCUUCAAGCAAGACUCCCAUGUUUUUAACUUUGUCUUCAGUGAUCUUCCUAGCAGCUUCACUCUUUGCAAGCUUGACCCAAAGCUCCAUCAUCUCCUAUCUUUC
RNAcentral lists this long non-coding RNA (234 nucleotides) under Elaeis guineensis (African oil palm). RNAcentral's name for it is "long non-coding RNA (EGUI_LNC023453)". The record is from RNAcentral. Lineage: Eukaryota; Viridiplantae; Streptophyta; Magnoliopsida; Arecales; Arecaceae.